AGAGUUUGAUCCUGGCUCAGGAUGAACGCUAGCGGCGGGCCUAAUACAUGCAAGUCGAACGGGAAUGGUAGCAAUACCAUGAGAGUGGCGUACGGGUGCGUAACACGUAUACAAUCUGCCCAUUACACGGGGAUAGCCUCGCGAAAGUGAGAUUAAUACCCGAUGGUACUACUGAGAGGCAUCUUUUGGUAGUUAAAGCUGUGGCGGUAAUGGAGGAGUAUGCGUCCCAUUAGCUAGUUGGUAGUGUAACGGACUACCAAGGCGACGAUGGGUAGGGGUUCUGAGAGGAUGAUCCCCCACACUGGUACUGAGAUACGGACCAGACUCCUACGGGAGGCAGC
RNAcentral lists this ribosomal RNA (341 nucleotides) under uncultured bacterium. Its description in RNAcentral is "bacterial SSU rRNA". It matches the Rfam family "Bacterial small subunit ribosomal RNA", at positions 8 to 352 of the family's 1533-position model. The record is from RNAcentral.